GUUGUUUUCUCGAAAAUCAAUUAAAAAAGAUUGGAUUUUGUGUUGUAUUGACUUCAUCAGCUUUCUGCACUCUUUUCUUGUCUUUUUUAAUGCACUUUUCGUUUAACAAGUCAACAUCAAUUUCUUUUGUUGUAAAAGGGUCAUUGGAAGGUGGCUUUCUUUUCGGAGAAAGUGUUUAUAGCCUUUGGCCUCUGCAAUCGGAGAGAUUGAGGUCUGCAGCGUAGAUCCUUCGGGGUUAGAUACAUUUGUGCUAAGUUAUAGCCUUUCAUAGACAACUUGUUGACUAUGAUCAGUCAUGUAGCUUACUCGCUUAUGCUAUUUUACCUAC
RNAcentral lists this ribosomal RNA (328 nucleotides) under uncultured Neocallimastigales. Its description in RNAcentral is "partial large subunit ribosomal RNA". The record is from RNAcentral. Lineage: Eukaryota; Fungi; Neocallimastigomycota; Neocallimastigomycetes; Neocallimastigales.